Molecule: long non-coding RNA, 385 nt
Organism: Schistocerca cancellata (South American locust)
Lineage: Eukaryota; Metazoa; Arthropoda; Insecta; Orthoptera; Acrididae
Exons: 2
Source: RefSeq, a predicted model, not a curated record
CGUGAUUGAUAAUACACGAUUUACUCUACUUAUUUUAUUUGUUUGUAUAUCUCCGUUAUCAGAGAAUCUUUUUAGAGUUAUAAUUCUCAAGAUUUAUAAUUAUAAAAUAUUUCAGGUCAAGGUGCAGCUUAUAGUUAAGAGGAGGUGGGUUACAAUAGAUUUUUGUUUAUAACGGAUUUGAUGGUGAAAUACUAUUAAUGAAGGUGGAUUUGAUAGUAAUUUAAUUUAUUUAAUUUAACUGAUAUUGGCUCUGAGGUGUGUACACAUCGCCCGUCGCUCUCAUUAUUGAUUAUUCUAUUUUAUUGUUUUAAUUUAGCUUCAAUUUAGAUGAGAUAAGUCGUAACAUAGUAGAUGUACUGGAAAGUGUAUCUAGUAAGAGUUUCAA